Molecule: ribosomal RNA, 291 nt
Filed under: uncultured bacterium
Lineage: Bacteria
Description: partial 16S ribosomal RNA
Rfam family: Bacterial small subunit ribosomal RNA
Source: RNAcentral
GUGGAUUAGAUACCCUGGUAGUCCACGCCCUAAACGAUGUCAACUAGGUGUUGGGGGAGGAGACUUCUUUAGUACCGCAGCUAACGCGUGAAGUUGACCGCCUGGGGAGUACGGUCGCAAGAUUAAAACUCAAAGGAAUUGACGGGGACCCGCACAAGCGGUGGAUUAUGUGGAUUAAUUCGAUGCAACGCGAAAAACCUUACCUACCCUUGACAUGCCAGGAAGUUUCCAGAGAUGGAUUCGUGCCCGAAAGGGAACCUGGACACAGGUGCUGCAUGGUCGUCGUCAACU